This 5937-nucleotide long non-coding RNA is filed under the name Daucus carota (carrot). RNAcentral's name for it is "long non-coding RNA (DCAR_LNC005063)". Lineage: Eukaryota; Viridiplantae; Streptophyta; Magnoliopsida; Apiales; Apiaceae. The record is from RNAcentral.
UUGCCAAUGACAUCCAUCAAGUUGCUCAUCAGAUCACCACUCUCACCCUACUUCAACCCUCCCGCAUUUCAAAUCUUUUAUAAAAUCCUGGGCAACCCAAAUUUUUUUUUUUUGGAUUUUUUGACAUCUUCAACUGUAAUUGAUGAUCAGUCGGAGCAAUAAAGGAGCAAGUCAUGGGGCACCAAUGUCUCCGGCCAAUCGGUGUCGACUAGCGGCAGCGUGGGCUCUCCUACAACCGGGAGUGAGGCGAUUGGCAACACUCCCCCAGUGAUAAGACUUCUAUUACACUUGAUCAUGUAGAUGCUCAUGCUGGUGAUGUUGCAUCUCAAGCUACUUAUAUGUGAGUGCUUAAUUUGCUGUGUUUUUUGAGGAUUUUAUUGCAGGGAAUCGAGUGUGAUUGAUUUGCUUUUACAAUUGAGACCGGAUUCUAUGGUGAUUUGAUUAUAUAUUUUGAUUUUGGAGCAAUUUUCUGAUCAUUGGAUGGUAAUUAUUGAAUUUAGAAAAGUGAUUUUUUUUUUGUGUUUGUUUUUGUGUUUGGACUAAUUACUACCGUUUGAGCAUGAAUUCUGCUAACUGUGUGUAUUAAGUGUUUUACUAUAUUCUUAGUUUUGUUGUGAUGAGACAGUGAAAAAAAAGGGGUCAACAAGCAGUCAGAGGGGAUAAGAAUUGCAGGGGACUCCGCCAAUCUAACAUGAAAGGUUUGUGCCUUUGUCAUUCUAUGUUGUUGCGAUAGUAAUCUUCUGCGCAUGCUGUUUGAUGUAUAGUUGAUGUUUAACCAAGAGUGCUUGUACUGAUCAAUGGGUGCAUAGUGAACUGGUCUAUGUCAUAACAAUGUUAUAUUUUGGGCUCUAUAGUUCAAGUUGCCUAUUAGAAAAAUUGUUAAGUCUCUGCUCAAAAAUGAAAUCUGAUUAUAUUGUCAUGUGAUUAUGGUUCUUUAGCUAAAAUGGUUGGUUGUUUGGCGUCCACUCACAUCCAUUCCUCCGAUCCUGUCGGUGCCAAUUUUUCCAAGGUCAAACCCUUAUUCUUUUUUACUGAUUGUUUUGGUCAAUUUUGUUUAUUAUUUUUAGGGUUUUGAUUAUUUUUUGUGUUUGCUUUGUAAUUUGAUUUGGGUUGUGUGAAAAUUAGCUUUCUUGAUCUUGAUACUUGAGGGUUUUGUUUAAUAUGAUCAAAUUGAUUGAAGUGCUUUGUGAUAGGUUGAAUUUUUGGCCGAUAGGAGAUUAGGAAUUUGAUAUAGUUUUUGUUAACUUUCGUGUAUUGAUUUGAUUGUUAGGAGCUCUCAGCGAAUUAGGUAAUUUCAAAUUAAUAACAAGAUUCAAUCUGACACUCUAAUUUAAUAUAAUAAAUUAACUAAUUAGAUAAAUUUGGAUAAAAUUAAUGGAUGAUCUCGGAUAGUUUUGCUGCUGAGAUAAAGUUGUCUGACAAGUUUUUUUUCCCACCAAAAUCAUCAUUCUCGCAUAUUGAAAUUGUAUCUUUCGUUUUGCUUGGUUCCGCCUUCGAAUAUGGUUCACAAGUUUAUAAAUUAUGCAAUUUCGCGUCAAGUUCAAGACUUAAAUGUGCAUAUUCCAGAAUUUGUUAUGGAUUUAUCCACCUUUAGUUCUACUUCCAUGAAGAAACUUAAGAUGAGUCUUGAUUUUUGUAAGGUGUUUAGAUUCUCGGAUUGUUGGGAUUUGCCUGCUUUAACAACUCUACGCUUGAUACUCCCUUCAUUAAGCCUUGGCGGAAUAAGUAUUCCUGGAUUAUAGUUGAUCUGUUUGCCUUCUUUACAGACUCUGGUUCUCGAUUGUAUUGAGUUACCAAAUUCUCUUGAUUGCUUGCUUCAGUAACUCUCUAUCUCGCAAGGUGCAAGUCCUUAAUAUUAGCUGUAUUGGUUUAUUCCCAAUCACAUUUAGACUAUCUCAGUUAGAGUAUGUGAAUAUGAAAUUAAGGGAUAGCACUGAUGGAAGAAAGCCUAUUCCAGGAUCUAAGUUGAUGAAGAUAUAUUAUCGCGGAUUUACUUAUGUCUCAGGUUUAGGGUAGUGCAAAGAUUCUUACUCUCAACUUGGAGACUAUUGAGGUAUAGUUCUGCUUGAUUCUUUUUUGCUAUAGUAAUUAAGAUAUUACAACUUUAUUAUCUUUUCUUCAAUUGAAGAUAAUUUUAUUAAAAUUGAUUGUCAUGCCUACUGCUUUUUGUCAAUCAUUGGUCAUUCAUUGGAGAAUGUUAUUAUUGAUUGAUAAUAGUUCAAACUUUUGGAUGACAAUGCUAUAAUUUGAUCAAUUUUGUUUAGUUAUUUCCUAGGCUUUAUCUUCUAUUUCAGAUUCUCUCGUAAAUUCUCCUCCUCAUUCUAUAACUUAAAGUAUGUGAAGGUGCCACAAGGAUGUAAAGAAACAAAUUUUGUCAACUGACCUCAAAUGCUACUUGCUUGGUCGCUCUCCAAAGCUACUAUUGUCACUAAAUUUCCUCAGGUACUAAUGAAUCGUAUCGACUUUUGAUUAAUCGUUUCAUUCCCUUUCUUGUUUUGUAAGCAUAUGAGGAUGACGUGGCAUCUCUCAAGGGCCUCCAUCUAUGUUUUCUAUUUUUCUAGCAUCUUUGUGCUUUGGUAUUUUUAUUUUGAUUAAAACUAAUUAAUUCUUUAUCUUUUCAGCUUAUUAAUUGUUAUGAAUUACAGUUACAGACUUUUUAUUUUCCUCUUCACUUCACUUCUUGCUUUCCAUGUGACAGUAUAUAUAGAUGUUUAUGCAUUGAAUUGCUAAUUGGUUGUGAUUGACUUGAUGAGUAAUUUGGUUGGGAAAGGCAUUAAGAAAGCAACUGGCUAACAAGAUCGGUGUCUGUUUGUAUAGUGUGAUUUUGCUGUAUGUUUGAUAUUGAACUUCUAUGAUGAUAUGUGUCGGUUAUUACAGGCAGCUAGGAAGUCUGCACCAACCACUGGAGAAUGAAGAUGCCCCACAGAUACCAUCCUGGAACUCUUGCCCUGCGGUGUAUAUUUGUUUAUAACUUCAUAUGCAUCCAUCAAAAAUAGUGGAAUAAACCUUUCGGAGGUUUACUUAUGUUUUACACGUUUCUGCCUAGACAUCUAUAAAUAUUGAAAUACUGUGCCCUGUCAUGUAUAUAUGUGAUAUAAAGAAGGAUCAUCCCCGCUCGUGAAUUGUGAUGAUUCUGUAAGUGUGGCCUCCCCCGUCGAGUUCUACGUGGCGGUAUGAUUUUUUAAGGAGUCAGUGGGAGCCUGGGAGGUUUUGUCGCCAAUGUUGUGGCCUCGUGGGGGUUUUGCUUAAAAGAAUUACACUUAUUUCUGUAAUUAGUAUUAGUCAUAUCUCUUCUGAAAUAAUCUUAAUGUAAACAAGAGGUUUUUUGUUUGAGGUGUUUUGGACAUUCUUUCUUUUGUUAGAUAAAAAACUGCUUAUGGCUUCUGCAAACUUUGCAUUUACAUUUUUAUUUCAGCAGAGCAUCAAUAUUCUCUUAUGAAUCAUGUAAUUUACACGGUCAUGCAUUUGAAACUAUUUCAUUCAUUUGAAACUAUUUUAUUCUUCUUCCUAAUUGAACACACACAUGCCCCUUUCACCUUCGACAGGACUACAACCCUGGCUGAAGGUAAUAGUAGUGCUAAAGGAUAAAGUAAAAGUACAGGAUAAGUUUAGUGACAAAUCAUCCUGUUUCUGUUGACUGAUCCGAGAGUGAGAUGGAUCCUGGCCUUCUGAUGAAGAAAGUGAGGGCUCCUGAUCUGCUGUUUCAUCAUGAGACCCCCUCCUGCUGCAACACAAAUGAACUGGGUCUGCUUCAGAAAGAAACCUCACCCCAGUAUAUCAGUGUUAGAAAUUUUGUUAUUCAUCAAGUUUAACUCAUUGUAAAAAUCAUGAAAAUACAAAUGAAAUCUAAUAUAUUUACUUUUCUGUUAUUAUUUCAUUUGAAAACACACAAUUAUAUUCUUUCCUUCAAGUCGGAUGAGAACUUUUCUUAGAAUAAAUUAUCAAGUUGGAAUGAAUUUGAUGGAUAUAUGUUCGAUGAUGUUUUUUACAUAUUUUUAUAUUUAAUUAAAAUUAUUAAUUAUCAAUCAAAGUUGUAUUAUUAGUGAUCACGUGACAUCUCUUAAAACUCUCCAUCUGUAAGAAUGAGACUGAAUGAGACUGCAGUACACAUAAGGUUAGAGUUUCAGAAGAAGCUAUAUUAUUUUAUAUUUUAUAUUUCAACAAGAAAUACAAAACAAAAGAUCCAUAAAUUAUAGAUCAUGAAGAUCUUUUAAAAUAUUUUAUAUUCUAAUUUUUUUCACUCGCGCGGAGCGCGUUUAUUUCACUAGUGAUACGAUAAAGGAUGACAUUUUAGAAGUUUUCCAAAUAUGAAUGCUAGAAAUGGUCUACAACUGAGAUAAAAAUGACACCGGCUUACAUGUAUUGCAAAAGAAAUAGAGAAAUAUAUAGUGUUUUGAUUUAAUGAAUUUUAAAAAAUCUCAAUUGUGUCAUUGGAAUUUAGAAUAUAAUUUAAAAUUCUUACUAAAUAUUAUCAAAUUUUUUUAUCAUAAUCUUUAUAUUUAUAUAAAGGAGGGUCUUCAUAGGCUGACGUGGCGGCUUCCAGAGCUCUGCUUCUAUUUUUCCUCGAUUUCUAGAAUUUCACUAUCUUUUUUAUCAGUGCUCUGAAAUUAUGAAAUUAAAAUUCUCCGUUGAAAUUGAAAGGUCCACAACUUAAUUACUAAGCUUUAUUACUUCGGUUGGGAAUUCAUAAAAUCGGAAGUCUAAAGUUUUAAGCUCCAGUUCACUCCAAAACUAACAAUGGCAGUGGCACCCGGACCUUCUUGGGAUUUGAAGAAUUCUGACCCUAAAGUUGCGAUUUCGCUAUUUUCUGCUCUUACAAAAAUUACACUAAUCAAGAAAAUCCCAACGGUGCUCUUACCGAUUUUAUUUUUGGAAGUUUUUGAUCGCGCAAGCAAGUCAUGGGGCACCAAUGGCUACGGCUAAUCGGUGUCGACUAGCGGCAGUGUUGGCUCUCCUACAACCGGGAGUGAGGCGAUUGGCAACACUCCCCCAGUGAUAAGACUUCUAUUAGGCUUAAUCAUAUAGAUGCUCAUGCUGAUAAUGUUGCAUCUCAAGCUACUGACAUGUGAGUGCUUAAUUUGUUGUAUUUUUGAGUGUUUUGCUUUUGCAAUUGAGACCGGAUUAUACGGUGAUUUGAUUUUUUUUAUUAGGAUUUGGAGCAAUUUUGUCAUCAUUGGAUGGUAAUUGUUGAAUUUGGAAAAGUGGGUGAUUUUUCUUUUGGGUUUUUGGACUAAUUGCUAGCGUCUGAUCAUAAAUUUUGCUAAUUGUAUGCAUAAAGCUUUUUGCUAUAUUCUGAGCUGUGUUGUGAGGAGACAGUGCAGGGGACUCCGCCAAUCGAGCAUGAAAGGUUUGUGCCUUUGUCAUUCUAUGUUGCGAUAGUAAUUUUCUACAUAUGUUGUUUGAUAUAUAGUUGAUGUUUAACCAAGAGUGCCUGUACUGAUCAAUGGGUGUAUUAUUUUGUAUUGUCGAUAGUUUAUGAGAAAGUGCAAAGCAAGGGAAGAACUACUUAUAACGAGGUCAGUUCAUUUUACAGAUUGCUUCCUUCUUUUACAAUUAUGUUCCAUACUUGUGCCUAAUACAUGACUGAAUCCUAUCAACUGGUCUAUGUUACAACAAUGUUAUAUUUUGGCCUCUAAAGUUCAAGCUGCCUAUCGGAAAAAUUGUUAGUCUCUACUCAAAAAUGAAAUUUGAUUAUAUUGUCAUGUGAUUAUGGUUCUUUAGCUACAAUGGUUGGUUGUUUGGCGUCAAACUUAUUCUUUUUUCCUGAUUGUGUUGGUCAAUUUAGUUUAUUAUUUUUAGGAUUUUGGUUAUUUUUUGUGUUUGCUUUAUAAUAUGAUUUGGGGGUGUGUGAAUAUUAGCUUUCUUGAACGCGAUGUCUGAGGGUUUUGUUCAAUAUGAUCAAAUUGAUUGAAUUGCUUUGUGAUAGGUUGAAUUUUU